UACGUAGGGGGCAAGCGUUGUCCGGAAUUAUUGGGCGUAAAGAGCGUGUAGGCGGUCCGGUAAGUCAGCUGUGAAAGUCAAGGGCUCAACCCUUGAAUGCCGGUUGAUACUGUCGGGCUAGAGUCCGGAAGAGGCGAGUGGAAUUCCCGGUGUAGCGGUGAAAUGCGCAGAUAUCGGGAGGAACACCAAUGGCGAAGGCAGCUCGCUGGGACGGUACUGACGCUGAGACGCGAAAGCGUGGGUAGCAAACAGG
Molecule: ribosomal RNA, 253 nt
Filed under: uncultured bacterium
Lineage: Bacteria
Description: partial 16S ribosomal RNA
Rfam family: Bacterial small subunit ribosomal RNA
Source: RNAcentral